AUACUAAGCAUAGCAGUGCUCUCAUUUGAUUGGAUGUUAACCUUGCCAGCUACACCUCAGAAUCAGGGGACUAGCACAUUGUUGGCCUUUCCCAUUGAAUUAGUGAUUUACUGUAAUUCACUAACUGGGAAUGUUAAGUUAGUGGAGUUAGUUUAGUUCUUUUAACUAAGUGCGAUUAUUAACUAAGUUAUAACUAAGGCAAAGUGACUUAGUUUUUUUUUCUCUAAGUGAAAAUAUUAAGAUAGUGAUUUAAUAAAGAACAGGGAGCCGUUUCAUUAACGAUUUACGACUAGUUGUAAAUUACAAUUUACAUAAAUUACGAUUUACAUAAAUUACAAUGUUUCAAUGAAUUCGCGUUUCAUCAAGCAAAUCGUAAAUUAAAAUUACAUAAAUUUCAUACAUAAAUAUACGACUGGGUAAGAGCACCCGUAAAUAAACAUAAUUGCGGUCAUUUUUCUCGUUGACGAUGACAGGAGACAAAUAAUACCAAUGCCAAGGCUUUUUAGGGAGAGAAUUGUUCUUGAAAACACAAGAAAUGAAAAUAUUGUUUUGAGAUAUCGUCUUACUAGGAGCGGUGCAGAGCGUUUGUUGGUUUUGAUCGGUCACCCACUUGCCGACGAUCUCAUAUUGAUCCCGUCACGCAGAUUUUGGCAUCAUUGAGGUAUAUGGCAAGGGAGAUUUUACUCUGAAGGAUUCCAUGCCAUUAAUGUGCAGGCUGUUGUUGACGUCAACAUGAGCACUAUCAGAGCAACAAUGAUGCGGGUCAUCUGCUGAGAGAUAGUGGGUAUCCGUUAAGGACUUACCUGAUGACCCCUUUACCUCAUCCCUCCAAUGCUGCGGAACAGGCCUAAAAUGACCAUCUAUGUAGACGGUCAAGAUUUUGAUGUCAGCAUGUCACUGAUGGAUGCUUGCCUUUCAAGCCCAAUAAGUGAUGUGAACAAGCAACUGUUUCCAUGCGUCUGCCGUCUGCAUAACCUGUGUCUUGAACGUUCCUCUGAUAAAGGAUUUGGUUUGAGACGUGAUGGAACCGGAAGUAAUUAACAACACACCAGUACAGGGAGCAGCAUUUAAUAAGAGACAGCAGCUGAUCAAACUGUUUGAUAAAAAUGUUUUAAAUUGGUACAAUUGAUGUAGUUAUUGAUGUUAUUAAGUGAUAGAUGGCUCGAGUCUUCUCUGAAUAGGCAGGCUAUACUUCUCAGUCAAAUGGCUUAAAGUUGUGUCAUCGCUGAUUUGGAAGGAUUGGUAUUCAUGGUGGUCUAGCCAUAUUUUAGUUACAAAAGCUGAUGUUUGCAUGUUUUAUAAUUGUGUAUGCAUAAUUUGGCUAAUAUUUACUUCAAGGUUAUAGGUUUGUGAAAGAAACAAAUGCCAAUGUUCUGAGUACCAAUAAAUAAGUUAUGUGUUAGAUAUUACCAAGUGCUUGAUUUAAUAAUAAUUUUUCAAGGGACCUUUUCACAGUUUUUGGCAGAUAUUAAAGUUUUUCAUUAAAUGCUUUAUAUUGAUAAAUAUAAACAUUGGAUCUAAAAAGCUCCCGUAAAAAAACAAGAAUAAAAUUAAAGAAAGAAAAAAAAGUAACCCUCAACUGGGCUCAAACCACUGACCUCUGGAGUAAAAGUCUUACACUUAGACCACUCUGCCAUCCGUGCUCAUACAAUGAGUGAUGUAUUUUAUAAUUUAUAUAAGCAAUCCUCGUCGUGUCACAAAAUAUAACGACAACAACAAAACUCUCGAAAUUGUUCAAUUGUAUCACGCUGCAACGCUUUAAAAUUUUCAGGUUUUUUAAUCGUCAAAAGAUGCAUAUUAUGGAUAUUUUAGAGCAUGGUAAAUGUUCAGUAUUACUGUUUCAUCACAAAUAUCAUAACUUAACGAAAAUUUGCAAAGCUGAAACAUUUAACAAAACGUGAAAUGGUCUCUUAAAUAUUUAACAAUUAUCUGAGCUCCAGAAAAGAUCAUAUAUACUGAAGGUGUUUUUCCCCAUGAACAAUUUUUCAAGUGAUAUUUUACCCACUGACCGUUAGCUCUAAUUGGUGUUCUCUGUACUGAAAAUUCUCAAAGCCACAUUAAAAAAAGUGGGCUUUUAAAAUUAUUUUUACUUAAUUAUAUAAAGUGUGCUGUCUAUAAAUAUGGAUGUUAGUGUCAUGAAAAACUAGAAGUUUACCGGUAUACAAGAUCGUUGCCAAAUGUAUUUACUUAAAUAUACCCCUUUUAUUAUGCUCUGUUCAAUAAUUAAGUCUUCAUCUACCGUUAAAAUAUGUUGUUUACCUGUGCAAUUGUUUUGUAUUUUCAUAGACAUUUUUAUCAUAAUAAUGUUUACUGUUUUUGAUAACAGUUGCAAUGACACUAGUAUUCAAUGAAUAAAACAUAAAGAACAUUCA
Long non-coding RNA from Dreissena polymorpha, 2372 nucleotides. RefSeq lists it as uncharacterized. The record is from RefSeq and is a predicted model, not a curated record. The transcript is spliced from 4 exons. NCBI's taxonomy places the organism in Eukaryota, Metazoa, Mollusca, Bivalvia, Myida, Dreissenidae.